Molecule: ribosomal RNA, 504 nt
Filed under: uncultured bacterium
Lineage: Bacteria
Description: bacterial SSU rRNA
Rfam family: Bacterial small subunit ribosomal RNA
Source: RNAcentral
GACGAACGCUGGCGGCGUGGAUUAGGCAUGCAAGUCGAACGGUAUCAUCCUUUCGGGGGUGAGAGAGUGGCGAACUGGUGAGUAACACGUAGGUUAUCUACCCUCAAGACGGGGACAACCCAGGGAAACUUGGGCUAAUACCGGAUGUGAGCAACUUUUAGUUGUUUGAAAGGUGGCGUAAGCUGUCGCUUGGGGAUGAGCCUGCGUCCUAUUAGUUAGUUGGUGAGGUAACGGCUCACCUAGGCAAUGAUAGGUAGGCGGCCUUAACGGGUGGUCGCCCACACUGGGAUUGAGAUACGGCCCAGACUCCUACGGGAGGCAGCAGUCGAGAAUAGUCUACAAUGGUCGGAAGACUGAUAGUGCGACGCCGCGUGAACGAUGAAUCCCUUCGGGGUGUAAAGUUCUUCUAUAUGUGAGCAGUGCUUCUUAUAUUAACAGUAUGGGGAGAGAGAUAUUAGCAUAUGAAUAAGCAACGGCUAACUCCGUGCCAGCAGCCGCGGUAAA